Long non-coding RNA from Enhydra lutris kenyoni (northern sea otter), 1120 nucleotides. RefSeq lists it as uncharacterized. The transcript is spliced from 3 exons. The record is from RefSeq and is a predicted model, not a curated record. NCBI's taxonomy places the organism in Eukaryota, Metazoa, Chordata, Mammalia, Carnivora, Mustelidae.
CCGCACAAACCGGGUCUAGGGCAGGCUCCAAGCGGCCAGAUGUUGUCACAGGCUGAAGUAAUUUAACGUGUUUAAAACUCCGGAAAUUCCACACGAAUGAAAAAGAAAGUGCAGUAUUCAGUACUAGUGGAGUGGGAAGGGGAAAGACAAUUUGCACAAAUACAAGCCCAACCUGUGACCAACGUGCCGAAGCCUCCCGGCCUGGGCGGACACCACCCAUAGUCUUCAAUUCUGGUUUCUGGAAAGAAACGUGGCAUUGAAGAUUUCCAGGCCUGGUUUUUGGUAUAUUCUGCGUCAACAAGCUUUGGAUUUUUCCGAGAUAGAAGAAUGAGAGGAUCUCGUUCUGGACUUGUCCUGUAAAAAGAAACACGUGACAUAAAACAAUGUGUCCCACACUGGAAUACUCUUCCCAAUCUCUGAAAGGCAGUCCUGGAACUGUUCAAGUCCACAUACAGUACCAAGUUAAGAAGCUGUGAUCUCAAGAUCUGAGAAUCAGAGAAGUUGAUAAGGACCAGUAAACAGUGGCUGCUGGGCCCGUCUGCAUUCUCAAGUUCACUGCCCAAGUAAAUAGAAGGUGUGAUCUCCAAGAAAGACUGACCAGGAAAACAACAAAACCCUUCUCCCUGUUGUGUUCAUGUGUACAGGAGAGAUUCAUCAUGUAUCUGCAUGCUAGGUACUGUUCUUGGCACUGGAGAUGCAGGUAGAGAGGGUGCUUGCCCAACAUUUCUCUCUCCCUUCUCCUCCCUUUCUUCCCUGCUUCUGUUUCCAUUUCCACCAGUCUCAGUCUGUGCUUUCCAUCACUAUUUAGCAGCCCAUGGCCUCAUGAGAAAGAUAGUCAGGAGAACUGGUGACUGUUCCUGCUCUGCCAUUACCUAGCAAAGUGACUAGCAGAGGGCCAGGUCAGAAGCUCCCUAUAGAAAAUUAUAAUCUCUGAGGCAAGAGGACAACUCAGCUGUUCUCUUCAGCAUGUACUUGAUGCCCAACACACUCAGGGCACUCUGUUAAUACCUGUUGAAUGACUAGAUGAAUGAACUUUACUUCUUUCAAUUUCAGUUCAAUUAAGAGUGACUUAGGCAAGAGGCACUUGGGCGGCUCAGUCAGUUAAGCAUCUGACUCUUGA